Molecule: non-coding RNA, 379 nt
Organism: Cinara cedri
Lineage: Eukaryota; Metazoa; Arthropoda; Insecta; Hemiptera; Aphididae
Source: the annotation of a GenBank genome assembly
UCGUGUAAGUCCUACAUAAAACUAAAUGGUAAUAAUGAAAUUAUAGAACGUGCAAUUGAUCAUAACCAUAUCAAAGAUUCUGCUGAACUGUUUAAUAGACAACAACUGAGUUUUUGAGACAAAAUAUGAAAAUGGCCAAUUAACUCGUCUCGAUUAUAUUAAAAAAGUAUCGUUCAAGUUUUUACCAAUUUUUUAAUUUUUAUAUUUUUUUUGAUUAUAAUUAUUACAUUUAAAUUACUUCUAAUUGCAUAAUAACGACAAAAAUCAAUAUUUUUAACCUAUCGAUAGUAAUAGUUUUCUAUUGACAGUCCUAAAUCUGUAUAAAAUGGGAAGGAAUGUAAUUUUUUUUACGUUGGGAUGAAAUUCGUGUAGUGGUUAA